This is a long non-coding RNA of Poecilia latipinna (sailfin molly), 1120 nucleotides long. RefSeq lists it as uncharacterized. The record is from RefSeq and is a predicted model, not a curated record. Lineage: Eukaryota; Metazoa; Chordata; Actinopteri; Cyprinodontiformes; Poeciliidae. The transcript has 3 exons.
GCACAAUGGGUACUGACGCAGCGUGACAUCGACUGACGUCCCUCUGUAUUUCUUGUAACAAAUUUCAUUUUUCUACAGAUAGUUACUGAAUACAUUUUCAACGGUCGGUUACUAUGCUAAAAGGGUUACUUAGGAACUGUUGCUAAGGCCGUUACAUUUUCAAACGGCUCCACCUUUGGGAUUGAUGGAAAUCUGAUGGAGAACAUUUAUGAGAAGUUUCAUGCUUGUAUCAUCAUCGUAUUUUUAUACCAAUCGUCCAGACUAGAAGGUUUCUGCACAAAAGUCCGUAUAACUUGAAUAACUUCUUCAAAAUCUUAUUUUGGCCGUAUUCAUGACCAUGACAGCGAAAAUCUGAUUAGGCCAUCAUUCUUCAUCGAGCUGCAGCCUCUGCCUCCAUGUCUGUCUGUCUUGGCUGGAGCGACUAAAUCUAAGAGCUCUCCUGGCAGGCGGAGAACGUGUCGACCUUGUCUCGUCCUCUGUUACAGGAAGGAGGCUCUGAUCAGCUCUGCAGAGAGGAUGUGGGGAUAACUGGCAGGAAACCAGGUGAGAGGAGGAACAGGAUUACCCAGCAGACCCCACCCUGCCGCCUUCACCUCAUCAUGACCUGCCCGGUCACCCACAGACUCCCCUUCUGAACACAAUCCUCACUGGAUUUCCCUCACCAGCACUGACCUAGCAGGAACUCCAAAUACAAAGCUUAAAACAGGAUUCUCAGAACAGAAACUCUCUCUGGUACCUGUAGCAAAUAAACACAAUUCAAAGAAAGAUUAAGAUUCGCCUGGCAGUUUUUCAGAUUUCUUUCGGGUUGCAAGAAAUGUGCAUGCAUUUAUUUACAGUACAAAUAAUUGUCAUGCUUCUUCCUUCCUCAAGCACUUCAUGACUGAACUUGAUUAUGAUCUGAUCUGCAUGCAGAAACUACCUGCAUGUCAUUACCCGGCAUCAGCAGCUUACAUGUUCAAGAUUUAAAGGUCACAUAAUAUAUCUCUAUGGUAAUCAGACACUAUGGUAUUGCAGUACAACACUCCAGGACGUGUGCCUGAUGUUAACAUAAACUAUUAUGUGUCAACAUAUUCAAAUAAAAAAUGAGCCUGGAAUGGUUUGUAAUUACCAAUCAGUGACU